This 245-nucleotide ribosomal RNA is filed under the name uncultured Oscillospiraceae bacterium. Its description in RNAcentral is "partial 16S ribosomal RNA". It matches the Rfam family "Bacterial small subunit ribosomal RNA", at positions 524 to 768 of the family's 1533-position model. Lineage: Bacteria; Bacillati; Bacillota; Clostridia; Eubacteriales; Oscillospiraceae. The record is from RNAcentral.
UACGUAGGGAGCGAGCGUUGUCCGGAAUUACUGGGUGUAAAGGGUGCGUAGGCGGAUCUACAAGUCAGUAGUGAAAACCAUGGGCUUAACCCAUGACGUGCUAUUGAAACUGCGGAUCUUGAGUGAAGUAGAGGCAGGCGGAAUUCCCGGUGUAGCGGUGAAAUGCGUAGAGAUCGGGAGGAACACCAGUGGCGAAGGCGGCCUGCUGGGCUUUAACUGACGCUGAGGCACGAAAGUGUGGGUAG